CGCUGGCGGUGUGCUUCACACAUGCAAGUCGAACGAGGUAGCAAUACCUAGUGGCGGACGGGUGAGUAACGCGUGGGAAUCUGCCUUUAGAUGGGGGAUAACGGGUCGAAAGACUCGCUAAUACCGCAUAUGACGAAAGUUGAAAGGAGUAAUCCGUCUAAAGAUGAGCCCGCGUCCGAUUAGCUAGUUGGUAGAGUAAAAGCCUACCAAGGCGACGAUCGGUAGCUGGUCUGAGAGGAUGAUCAGCCACAAUGGGACUGAGACACGGCCCAUACUCCUACGGGAGGCAGCAGUGGGAAUUUUACGCAAUGGGCGAAAGCCUGACGUAGCGACACCGCGUGAGCGAAGAAGCCCCUUGGGGUGUAAAGCUCUGUCAGCUGGAACGAAAAAAUGACGGUACCAGCAGAGGAAGCAUCGGCUAACUACGUG
RNAcentral lists this ribosomal RNA (429 nucleotides) under uncultured bacterium. RNAcentral's name for it is "bacterial SSU rRNA". It matches the Rfam family "Bacterial small subunit ribosomal RNA", at positions 34 to 507 of the family's 1533-position model. The record is from RNAcentral.